This 1623-nucleotide long non-coding RNA is filed under the name Chlamydomonas reinhardtii. RNAcentral's name for it is "long non-coding RNA (CREI_LNC000286)". Lineage: Eukaryota; Viridiplantae; Chlorophyta; Chlorophyceae; Chlamydomonadales; Chlamydomonadaceae. The record is from RNAcentral.
GCGAGGUCACGUUGGUGAACACACCCUUCUCCUUGACAAUGAUCUGGAACACGUCGGGCACCAUGCCGCCGGUGUAGCGCAGGGUGUACUUCUCGCCCAGGUAGAAGUUGAUCAGGCGCUCGUAGGCGGGGUUGUCGAAGGUGGCGCGCAGGUUGCCGGGGGCGAACAUCUUGCCCUCACCUGGACGUUGAUGACAAGCGAGGGGAACGGAAUGGCGAGUACGGUAACUCGGAUGCUGGGACCGGAUCGGCGUGACCCCUCAAACCCGGGCGUGCAGACUGCCGCCUGGUUGGCUGGCUUCGUCCCUGAUGAGCGCUCGCCUGCCCAGCCCGUCGUGCGCCCUGACCUAGGUCAUUGCUCCAUUGCUUCAUUUCUCCCCUCCGCUCGCUCGCCUUCAGCGCAACACUAAGCUCCCGCUGAACGUUUGGGCACCGGCGUGGCUCACGCUCGCGCUGCAAUCUCAGCCCACAAGCUGCCACGCGUCCCUUUUCUCGCCACCGCCGCCUGUACGGCUGUACCCAUAACGUCCGGUCCCAGAGCCGAACUCACCGAUGUGGGUGGUCUCCUUGACGUGCAUCCACUUGCCGUCGUCCAUCAGCAGGAACUCGUGGCAGCCGGGGGCGUCCUUCAGGGCAAUGCAGAACACGGUGCGGGGACCGUAGAUGCCCAUGCCGGCAGCCACCUGCUCGCGGCCGGUGAUGUUGGUCAGCUUGUCGCCGGGCCACACGCCGAAGAUGGUGCCCACGGCGAAGUUGGUGUCGACGAUGGACGAGCCGUCCAGGGGGUCGAAGGCCACGCAGAAGCCCUCCCCGCCCAUGUCCACGGGCUCGGGCACCUCCUCGGAGCAGGCCAGCUUGCACACGUGCUGCAGAGGAGAGAGAGGAAAAAGAAAGGCGGAAGCGGGCAUUUAGCCGUGGGAUUUAGCAUGGAAAGGCGCGGAUCCUGCGGCGGCACCACAGCAGUCACACCCGCCCUCCCCUCCGAACCAUGAAGCAGGAUCCCCCGGCGGGGCUGGUGCGCCCGCCAUAGCUUCCCCACACUCGCACACGCCAUUGUUCACCCCCGCACACUGCUCACCGAGUACUUCAGGGCCUCGAACAGCAGCUUGUCAGCCACCAUGUCGACGGCCAGCUGCUCAUCGCCGAAGCUGUUCACGCAGGCGGUACCGGCGCACGAGGCGGUGCGGACCUGCAGGUAAAAUUUGUCAAUGCAUAACAUGUCUGGUCGACAUUGCACGUGCCGUAUGCUUGCUGGGCGUUUCUAGCUCGGCGAUCGCCCCUCACCUUGUGGGCGAUGGUGCGGGUGGCCUCAGCCAUGCUCAUCAUCAGCUGGCGCAGCUUCGGGUCGGGGGUGGCCUCGACCAGGAACUCAGCCAGGCUGUCGCCGAUCUGCGUACAGAAAAACCACGUUCACUUGCGUGCAUGUGCGCGACCGAAGCCCCAGCUGCUCCAGCCCAGCCCGAUUUGCCGGCUUACCUUGGCCUGGGUCAGAACGGCCGUGCGGCGAGACUGCACACGGGCAGCGCGGGUCGAGCGCUUCACGCGAGCGGUCACAGCGGCACCCUUGAAGGCCGAAGCGUUCGCCGAGGCGACGACAACGGGGGCGGUCGCGGCGCGGCCCAUC